This 233-nucleotide long non-coding RNA is filed under the name Mytilus galloprovincialis (Mediterranean mussel). Lineage: Eukaryota; Metazoa; Mollusca; Bivalvia; Mytilida; Mytilidae. The record is from RNAcentral.
GGAUAUGAAAUAUCUGAAAUCAACGAAAUUUUCAAUCAAACACAAAAUAUAGAAAGGAAAAACCUGCUUUUACAACGCCAGACGAAACGGGAACAACCACUAUUUAUGUUAACAAAAUUCAACCCAUCUAUACAGAAACUAAAAAAUAUAAUUACAAAACACUGGAACCUUAUUUCAUUAAACCCUAAUUGUUUGAACAUAUUUAAUCACCAGCCUAUUAUAGCUGUUAAAAG